Molecule: ribosomal RNA, 1366 nt
Filed under: uncultured bacterium
Lineage: Bacteria
Description: bacterial SSU rRNA
Rfam family: Bacterial small subunit ribosomal RNA
Source: RNAcentral
AGUGAACGCUGGCGGCAGGCCUAACACAUGCAAGUCGAACGGCAGCACAGAGGAGCUUGCUCCUUGGGUGGCGAGUGGCGGACGGGUGAGGAAUACAUCGGAAUCUGCCCAUUUGUGGGGGAUAACGUAGGGAAACUUACGCUAAUACCGCAUACGACCUACGGGUGAAAGCGGAGGACCUUCGGGCUUCGCGCAGAUAGAUGAGCCGAUGUCGGAUUAGCUAGUUGGCGGGGUAAAGGCCCACCAAGGCGACGAUCCGUAGCUGGUCUGAGAGGAUGAUCAGCCACACUGGAACUGAGACACGGUCCAGACUCCUACGGGAGGCAGCAGUGGGGAAUAUUGGACAAUGGGCGCAAGCCUGAUCCAGCCAUGCCGCGUGGGUGAAGAAGGCCUUCGGGUUGUAAAGCCCUUUUGUUGGAAAAGAAAAGCAGUCGGUUAAUACCCGAUUGUUCUGACGGUACCCAAAGAAUAAGCACCGGCUAACUUCGUGCCAGCAGCCGCGGUAAUACGAAGGGUGCAAGCGUUACUCGGAAUUACUGGGCGUAAAGCGUGCGUAGGUGGUUUGUUAAGUCUGAUGUGAAAGCCCUGGGCUCAACCUGGGAAUUGCAUUGGAUACUGGCAGGCUAGAGUGCGGUAGAGGGUAGUGGAAUUCCCGGUGUAGCAGUGAAAUGCGUAGAGAUCGGGAGGAACAUCCGUGGCGAAGGCGACUACCUGGACCAGCACUGACACUGAGGCACGAAAGCGUGGGGAGCAAACAGGAUUAGAUACCCUGGUAGUCCACGCCCUAAACGAUGCGAACUGGAUGUUGGGUUCAACUAGGAACUCAGUAUCGAAGCUAACGCGUUAAGUUCGCCGCCUGGGGAGUACGGUCGCAAGACUGAAACUCAAAGGAAUUGACGGGGGCCCGCACAAGCGGUGGAGUAUGUGGUUUAAUUCGAUGCAACGCGAAGAACCUUACCUGGCCUUGACAUGCACGGAACUUUCCAGAGAUGGAUUGGUGCCUUCGGGAACCGUGACACAGGUGCUGCAUGGCUGUCGUCAGCUCGUGUCGUGGGAUGUUGGGUUAAGUCCCGCAACGAGCGCAACCCUUGUCCUUAGUUGCCAGCACGUAAUGGUGGGAACUCUAAGGGGACCGCCGGUGACAAACCGGAGGAAGGUGGGGAUGACGUCAAGUCAUCAUGGCCCUUACGGCCAGGGCUACACACGUACUACAAUGGGAAGGACAGAGGGCUGCGAACCCGCGAGGGCAAGCCAAUCCCAGAAACCUUCUCUCAGUCCGGAUCGGAGUCUGCAACUCGACUCCGUGAAGUCGGAAUCGCUAGUAAUCGCAGAUCAGCAUUGCUGCGGUGAAUACGUUCCCGGGCCU